This 324-nucleotide ribosomal RNA is filed under the name uncultured bacterium. RNAcentral describes it as "bacterial SSU rRNA". It matches the Rfam family "Bacterial small subunit ribosomal RNA", at positions 390 to 706 of the family's 1533-position model. The record is from RNAcentral.
AGCACGCCGGCGUGAGUGAAGAAGGUUUUCGGAUCGUAAAGCUCUGUUGUAAGAGAAGAACGUGUGUGAGAGUGGAAAGUUCACACAGUGACGGUAACUUACCAAAAAGGGACGGCUAACUACGUGCCAGCAGCCGCGGUAAUACGUAGGUCCCGAGCGUUGUCCGGAUUUAUUGGGCGUAAAGCGAGCGCAGGCGGUUUAAUAAGUCUGAAGUUAAAGGCAGUGGCUUAACCAUUGUUCGCUUUGGAAACUGUUAAACUUGAGUGCAGAAGGGGAGAGUGGAAUUCCAUGUGUAGCGGUGAAAUGCGUAGAUAUAUGGAAGAA